AUGGAGCCACAUAUCUUUAUGGCUUUGGCAUCUUAUCUUAGAAGAGAGAACUUGGUAUCAGAUACAUGAACCAAGGUGGAGGAGAAGUUAGUUUUUUUCCUAUACAAGGUGUCGCACAAUACAUGUGAUAAAGAUUUUCAGAUAGAAUUCCAGCAUGGUGGCUGGACAUUUCAUAAGUACAUUAAAGAUUUCUUCGACAUCAUCCGCGUCUUAGUUAGUCGGAUUUUGAAGCCUCCAAACAUUGAUGAACCACAUGCGAAAAUUUCAACCGAUCCAAGAUUCCAUCUUUAUUUCCAUGUUUUUAUUUUUAACACUUUAAUAAUUCUUCUCUUAUGUACCUCAAAGUUAUCUAUUGGCUUGCAAUCUAUUUUCUUUCAGAAUUUUAUAGGAGCCACUGAUGGGCCUCAUGUACCUAUAAUUGCAACACCCGAGAUUGCCACUCAAUUUCGAAAUAGAAAAUGUCCUUUUAGUCAUAAUGUCAUGAUUGGAUGUGACUUUGACCUAAGAAUCACUUCUAUACCAUGUGGCUAG
RNAcentral lists this ribosomal RNA (531 nucleotides) under Triticum aestivum (bread wheat). RNAcentral's name for it is "partial small subunit ribosomal RNA". Lineage: Eukaryota; Viridiplantae; Streptophyta; Magnoliopsida; Poales; Poaceae. The record is from RNAcentral.